Molecule: ribosomal RNA, 451 nt
Filed under: uncultured marine bacterium
Lineage: Bacteria
Description: bacterial SSU rRNA
Rfam family: Bacterial small subunit ribosomal RNA
Source: RNAcentral
AGAGUUUGAUCAUGGCUCAGAUUGAACGCUGGCGGCAGGCCUAACACAUGCAAGUCGAGCGCGAAAACACUUCGGUGUGAGUAGAGCGGCGGACGGGUGAGUAAUGCUUGGGAAUCUGCCCAGUAGUGGGGGAUAACGUGUGGAAACGCACGCUAAUACCGCAUACGUCCUACGGGAGAAAGCAGGGGAUCUUCGGACCUUGCGCUAUUGGAUGAGCCCAAGUCAGAUUAGCUAGUUGGUGAGGUAAUGGCUCACCAAGGCGACGAUCUGUAGCUGGUCUGAGAGGAUGAUCAGCCACACUGGGACUGAGACACGGCCCAGACUCCUACGGGAGGCAGCAGUGGGGAAUAUUGCACAAUGGGCGAAAGCCUGAUGCAGCCAUGCCGCGUGUGUGAAGAAGGCUCUAGGGUUGUAAAGCACUUUCAGUGGGGAGGAAAAGUUUAAGAUUAAU